AGGGCUGGCCAGGCAGUGCUGCCUGCAGGCUGUGCAGUUGGCCUGGGGGUCUGGAGCCUCCGGGACCCACAGAUGCGCCCGCACCCUCAUCCCUGGCUUCUUUCGGCCCCACAGCGGGGCAGCAGCACUGCUGUCCUAGCCACGCCAGGCGCCAGUGUGGCCUGGUAAAGGCCUCGUGCAUUCUGUCCUGCUGGUGGGGGAGGCUGGCCUCUCAUGCGCUUGUCCUUAGAGGGCAGCAUGAAGAUGCCGCGCCCCACCGGGGAGACGAGGGGAGUGGACCCCUCAUGAGAUCCAGGCCGCAUGAGGCAGGGGCUGCCAUGACAGGAUACUGCAUGCGGGGGGCCUCAUGCAGCAGAAGUGGACUCUCUGAGUCCUGGGGCCAGACUUCAAAAUCAAGGUGUCGGCAGGGCCACCUCCUGCUGAAGGCUCCAGGAGAAAACCCUUCCUGCCGCUCCUAGCUUCCGGUGGCCCAGGCAGUCCUUGGCUUGUGUCCGCAUCGCUCCAGUUCUCUGCCUCCGUCUCACGUGACUGUGUCUCUGCACCUUUCCCCCUUCUCAGAACGUGUCCUUGGAUCUCAAGUCCACCCUCAUCCAGGAGGCUUUCAUCUCAAAAUCCUUAACUUAAUCCCAUCUAUCUGCAAAGACCCCUUUUCUAAAUCAGGUCCCAUUCUCCAGUUCCUCGGGUUAGGACCUGGACAAAUCUUUUGGGGGUGUCGUUCAUCAUCCAACUGCACUUGGCAUGGGAAGGCCCCCCUCCUGCCCCCUGGAUCUGCCUGUGAGCACAGGGGUCCCCUGGGGGUGUCCAGAGUGAGAACAAAUUCCGUCUGGGACAGAGCUGGCAGAGGCCCCGGACGCUGGCCUCCCGAGCGGGGUUGUGAUGUUGGACCCUGUUCUCAACACCAGGCCCACGCCACCAAUUCGUGCUUCUGUCUGGGCCAGGCUUCCCCGUCCCCCUGUCCCAGUCUCAGGAGGGUGUCUGCAGGUUUGUCUCCCUGGGGGACGGAGCCACGUUUGGGUUCCACUUCAUUCUCCAACUGCUCUGGUGCUGGACAGAAGCUGAGCCUGCCCGCCUCCAUAUGUGGGGUUGGAGAGCCUGGGGUACCCUGGCCUCAGAGGCAGUGAUGAUGGGGGAGGGAGAGAGAUGGGAGAGGGGCCUGGGAUGCCAUUGGAAUCUCUCAGGGCUUCAUCUGAGCUGUCUCUGCCCCCUUCUAGCAUUCCCAGGGGAGUUCCAGGAGGCCCAUGGCCCCUCCUGUACAGCCCUCCACCGCCCAGAGCCUUCCAGCGCCGUGUCUUCCCCUUGGAGCAUCUGGAGGCCCCAGACAGCACCCGCCUGACGUUCAGCAGAGGGGGAGACCGAGGCCUGCAGCAGAGUGUUUUGUCAGAUGCUGCUCCCUGACCGGGAGUGAGAGGGAACCCACCUAGAGGUGCCAGAUGGGGUGCCAGGGCAGCGUGGCCUGCAGGCCCCUCAGCUCCUCACAGCCCCUGCCCCCAGCCUUCCUGGGCCCAGAGAUCCCCUUGUUUACCCUAGUCCAGGGACAGAGGCUCAGAUGUCAUGCUUGACCCCACAGGUACAGGGUUAGGGGUGAAGGUGGCUGUCUCUUCAUGUCUUCACCAUGGCUUCUCUGCCUUCCUCCUGCUCCUGGUGGCUUAUGUCCUGCCGCUCUUGAUACGCGACUGUGGUCUGUCCUGGGAUGGUUAUGAUGCAUAUGUGCUAUUGUUGUGAACUGUAACAUUGAGGUCUGGCCUUACGGUUGGUUUUGAUUGUCCCUUCUGCUCCCUUUUCUUAUUUUAAUAUUUUACCAUUUUCCAUUUUA
This 1813-nucleotide long non-coding RNA is filed under the name Homo sapiens (human). RNAcentral's name for it is "HSALNT0404474". Lineage: Eukaryota; Metazoa; Chordata; Mammalia; Primates; Hominidae. The record is from RNAcentral.